AAAAUAAAACUUAUUUCAAUAUUCAACGUCUAAGAUUAACUGUAUUUCAAUUAAAUCCAUAAAAAAUUAAGAAAAUUAUUACAUACUUUAAAAAAAUUAAAUAUCAUAAAAGAUACAAAAAUAAUGUAUAAUUUUUCUUUCAAAAAAUAAAUUGUAUAUAUUACACUACUAAUUUAUAAACUAAUAUAUCGCCCCAACAAUUUAAAAUCCCUAACUCCGUCCCUGCCAUAAGUUGUUCCAACUGCCUUCCCCGAUGAAUAACGUAUCAUCAACAAACUAAAGCAAUUCAAUCUUACAAAGACCUUUAAGAUUGAAACCUUUAAACUCUUCAAUUUCCACUCAAUUUCUAAGAAGACCCGCAAGACCUUCUGUUACAAUGAGAAAGAGAAAAAGAGAUAGAUGAUCGUCUUGCCGAAGACCUCUAUGAGCUUCGAAAUCCUUUAUGGAGCUGCCAUUAACCAAUAUCGAAAUAUGACUAGAAAAGACGAUUGACUCCCUCCAUUGCAUCCAUUCGAAGCCAAAAUUCAUUCUCUACAUCUGUUUUGCAUUCAAUUAUUGUUGUAAUAAAAGAAAGAAAAGAAAGAAUAAUAUUAAUAAAAUAAAAAAUAAUGUUCAAAGUAAAAUAGUAAAGAUCAAAAUUUGAAAAGGUUAGAAAAAUAUCUUCUUGUAAAUGUUUCUUUCAAUAAAAAAAUUCAGAAAUCAAUAAAAUUAUAAAAUGAACAAUUUUAAGAAAUUUAGCCAUAUUUUCUCUUUUUGUAUGUUAUAGAUAUAAUAUGAUAUGAUCAAUUUAUAGUAGUAUACACUUCUCCUAAGUUAAAAUAAAUUAAUUAUUUUUGGCCCUUGAGAAGUAUGGAAAAACAUCUUUAAAUUGCUAAUGUGAUAUAUCCUUAUUAGAAUUCACUCUUUUUAAAUUAAAUUUUUAACAUUUGAUUAUAGAUAAAUAAUAUUUUAUUUAUUUUAAAAAUUGUGGCAAUAUGGAAAAGUUAUUGUACGUAUACUUUACCGAUAGUUGAUCAUAUUGUAAGAUUUUUUUUUUUAUAAAAAUAAAACCAUUUGAUUUUAGAUAAUGAAUAUUAAAUUUUGUAGACAGGAUAAUCCCAUGAUUCACAUUAAUGUACAAAAAUAUAUUAAUUAUAAUUAAUUCGAACACCAUGUUGUUUUAGAACGAGGCUUCUCAUCGAUGCUUUUGUAAAUUUCUAUUGUUAUUUUUCUGAAGAAAAUAAUAUAGCGUAUAAAACUCAUGAUAUCAUCAAAUAAAAUAUGAUAUAAUCGAUUAACACUUAACUAAGGAUUUGUAAAAAAUAUCUAUAAAUUACAAUCUUUAUUUAAUGUAUAUUAGAUAUAUUAUGUAAUAUCUAUUCUUUAGCACUUUUAAUGGUAGUUUAUAUAACUAGUCUGAAGGUGAGAAAAAUAUAAGAGGGAAGAGGGGAUUGAAUUGUGUUGACUUUUUAUUUGACUUAUAAGAUCUUCCGAGUUUUGUAAUAUUUGAUCAAGUAGCUUUUUUUUAAUGUCAAUAAAGAGAGUCUGCAGGAGAGUUGUAUAAGCGCUUGGUGUAGUAGUCUUCUUCUCCGGUCUUUCUGCUCCUUAAAUAGAGAAGAGAGAAAAGAGAUGUUGGAGAUUUUCACCAAAAGGUUGGGCUAACUCUGCACUUGAUUAGACACAUCAACAAAACACCUUUCUCUAAGAUUAAUUAUUCAUCGAGGCUCAGGCAUCAAAGAAGAGAUUUUUCCAUAAGUGUUUACGUGAUCAAAAAGUCUAAGAGUCUGUUAGAGUUGCCUUGGUAGAAGAGUUUCUUCUCCAGAGGAAGACUUUCCUUCAGACUUCACUCUUUAGAGACUGAUCACAUCAGAGUUCUCUUUGACUUCUAAAGCUUCAGAGUCUGGAUCACUAGAGACUGGCUUUCUUCAGAGUUGACUUCUUCAAAGUUUUGAUUUCCAUCAGAGACAGAGUCUUCAGAAGUGAUAUUCAGAGCUAGAAUUUGAUCUUCAAAUUUAGAUUUCUCAAGCUCUUCCUCAUUUGUAGAGUUGUACUCACCUCUACCAUCAGUUCUGAGAAAUUUUCAACUUUUUACCACUAUGUUUUUCAGCAUUCACCUUGAACUUCUGAAACUCAGCAAACACCUCAUGCUUAAAAUUGAUGAGUCUUACCCAUGUCAUUCUCGUGAACUCAUCCACAAAAGAAACAAAGUACUUGUUUCCUCCAAGUGAAGAAACUUUAAAUGGUCCACAUACAUCAUAAUAUACUACUCCUAAUGCAUGUUUUGCUCUUAGAGCCACUUCUAAUGCAAAUGGAAAUCUAGGUUGCUUACCUUUCAUGCAUAUCUCACAUGACUUCUUAGUUUUCAAAAUCUUAGGAAUUCCAUGUACCAACUUCUUAGAAUUCAGAUGUUCUAAACUUCUGAAGUUCAGAUGCCCUAAUAUAUUAUGCCACAACUCACCGUCACCUUCAACACCUUCUGCACUAAGACAUUUAGUUUCAGUUGUUUCCAUAUUCACUUUCAAUUAUAUGUUGCUUCCCUGUUCAUACUGCAUAAUCAACUUUUGAUCAGAAUCGUACAACUUCAAGAGAUUGUCCUUCAAAUCAACUAAAAAACCUUUCUCAAUUAGCUGACAUACACUCAUCAAAUUGCUUUUCAUGCCAGGAACAUAUCAAAUAUCCUUAAUCAUAAGAGUCAUGUCAUUCUUCACUCUGACCUUGACAUUUCACAUUCCUUUACCAUUCAGAUACUUAUCAUUAACACAUCUGAUUUUUGUCCUCUUUCUAGAAUCAAAAUCAAUCAGCCAUUAUUUAUUUUUAGUUAGGUAAUUUGAGCAGUCAGUGUCUAUAUACAACAGGUCUAUCAAAAUCCACCAUCAGACUCGGAAGCCAUCAAUAUCACAAUUUGAUCAUCAAAUUCUCCUCUGGCUAUGUUUGCUUCUUCUGAUUUUCUUUCCUUAUUUGACCAACAGUCAGCUGCAAAGUAACAAAACUUCUUACAAUAGUAGCAUUAAAGCUUCUUCUUGUCAAACUUCUCAUUUUCCUUAUGAUGUUUCUUCUCACCACAAUUGAAGACUUAUGACUUAUGAUAACCACCAUCAUGUCUCUUCUUGGUCUCUGACCAAAACUACUUAUGAUUCUUCUUUCCAGAAGAUGCCUUUGUAGCCUGCUCUACCUCUCUUUUAGAGGUUAUUUGUUAGACGCAACUCUUGUGCCUCUAGACUGUUUUUCUGAUCUUUAAUUCUCAUGGUGCUCAGAUCUUUAGAAUGUUCAAUUGCAACAAAAAUGUAAUCAAAUUAAGGAGUAAGUGAUCUCAGUACCUUUUCAAUGAUUUUAUGUUCAAAAAGAGUAUCUCCACAAGAUUUCUCUCAUUUGUGAUUAGAAUCACUCACGAGAUAUAAUCUGAUAUCUUUUCAUUGUUCUUCAUGUUGAGAUUCUCGUACUUCUUACACAGAGACUGAAACUUCACCUUUUUCAUUGAUGCAUCACCAUGCGUAGCAACGUACCAGUAUGUGCCACACAACCUCCGUAGUCGUUAAAUCAACGAUCAUCUCAAAAACAUUCAUAUCCACACACUGAUGGAUAUAUAACAGAGCUUUAUGACCCUUCUUCCUCAACUCUAUAUACAUGUUCCUUUGUGCUUCAGUUGCAUAUGUUGCAACCACUGCAUAGCGGUCAUUGACGAGAUCAAGAACAUCGUGAGCGCUAAACAACACAUGUAUCUGAAUCAUCCAUCAAUUCCAAUUUUUUGCGUCAAAGACUGGAGGUUUCGUGUUCAAGCUAUCGUUUCCACCGUUCAUCUUCAAUCUUGUGCAAGAAAUCACUCAGACCUUACUAAAUACCCGUGUUUCCAAAUCCCCGAGAAUCAAGAAAUGUGAUUCUAUUAUGAUUUCGAUCGUAAAAUUUCAAUGCGAAUUCAAGAAACAAAAUCAAUCACACACGCCUCACGUUCACUAGUGUUUUUCGUAGAUCUGAACCGGAGUUCUAGAUACCAAUUAUUGGUGCACAAAAGAAAGAAGAUGAAGAUGAUGAAUAUGGAGAGAGAAGAGAGGAAAACUAAUAUGUAACUAACUUUUCUUUAACAUAAUUUUUAAAUUGAUUACAAAAUGAUUCACACUAAAACUUAAAACUAACACUAACUUUCAGUAUUUAUACGAUCAAAGUCUAAAUGCAAAUUCAAAAACAAGUUAAAUUAGACUUAAAUAUAAACCAAAAUGAAUUAUAUCUAAUAUUCAAUCAAAAUCUAAAUGCAAAUUCAAAAACAAGUUAAAUUAGACUUAAAUGUAAACCGAAACGAAUUAUAUCUAAUAUCUAAUAUCAAAAAGUUACAAUAAUCGACUUUAUUAUAUCAUGAAAGAAACUUCAUUACUAGGAGUUUGCAAAGAAAAGCUACAUGAAUAAUUGAAUUUUUCCAUUUAAAAAAAAAUCAAAAGUUGUUACUGCAAUAGGAAGUUCCAAUUAAAUUAUAAAUAUCAAUAAACAAUGUUGUAAACUUCCAUUGCUGGUUGCAACUCCUUGUUCUAAUUCAUUUAUUUACUCUAAAAGAAUGUUCGUUUCUAAGAUCACUUGUAUCGCUUAACAUAUAGUAUUCAAAGAAAAAUAUAUAAAUAAUAUUUCAAUUGCCUUAUUUCAUUUUAUUAGCAACAUCUCAAAUUACAAAGUCUUAAAUCUAUGGUGUAUGAAAUUAUGAAAGGAAAAAUAAACAAGGUGUAAUAUUUUAUUAUAAGGUAUAUUGCGUAAGAACUCAUUUGUCAUGUAUUGAGUUUGUUUACCCUUUUGGCUUUCACUUCGACUCUUGGGGCAAUUUUACAAAUGUACAUAGAUUGUCAAUACACUUCAAAGAAUAAAGAACAAAAUAAUCUGCCGGUCGUGAACAAUCUGCAUCUGUUUGGCAUUCAAUUUUUUCUGUAAUAAAAGAACAAAAUAAAAAAAUAAAAUUAAUAGAAAAAUAAAAAAUUGUGUUCUAAGUAAAAAAAGUAAAGAUCAAAAUUUGAAAAGGUUAGAAAAAUAUCUUACUGCACAUGUUUCUUUCAAUAAAAAACACAGAAAUCAAUAAAAUCAUAAAAUGAACAAUUUUGAAAAAUUUAGCCAUAUUUCCUCUUUUUGCGUGUUAUAGAUAGAAUACUAUAUGACCAAUUUAUAGUGUAUAAAUUUAACUUAUCCUAAGUUAAAAUAAAUUAAUUUUUUUAGCCCUUGAGGAGUAUGGAAAAACAUCUUUAAAUUGCUAAUAUGAUAUAUUUUUAUUAGAUUAAUGUGUGAUGUUUGUCCUUUUAACACAUUAAGAGUAGCAUACAAAACUUUUUUAUCAUUAAAUUCACUAUUUUAAAAUUAAUUUUUCAUGAUAGAUAAAUAAUAUUUUAUUUAUUUCAAAAAUAGUUACAAUAUGGAAAAGUUAUUUGUCCGCAUAGUUUACCGAUGGUUAAACAGUGUAAGAUUUCUUUUUUAUAAAUGAAAUUAUUUUAGAUAAUGAAUAUUAAAUUCUUUAGUUAUUUGAUUUUAGAGUCGGAAAUGAGUCGAGUCGAAUCAAAUUCGUCUCAGUUCAGCUUGAUUCGAUAAUAAUUAGUUUAACUCAAAAUUCGACUCAAAUUUUUUAAGUUUAACUUCAAAUCAUUUUAAAUUCACGAACAAUUUAAUUCAAUUCGUUAGAUUCAUCUCGUUAAACUCAGUCGUUUACUCUACAAACUAAAAAUAUAUUUUUUAAAGUCUUAUAUAUAUAUAUAUAUAUUUUUUUUUUAAAAAAAAAUAUUUAAAUAUAAGAUUGAAAUUUAACUUCUUUUAAAAAAUUCUUAAUGUUUUUAUUUAUUAUAAGAAUUUUAUUAAAUAAAAAAGUUUAAUUUUUAAUCACUAUAUACAACUUUUUUUAUAAUACGAUGAUUUUAUUUGAAUAAUUAUUUUUAAAAAUAUUUUACUCACUUGAGAAUAUAAAUGAUCAAUUAAAAUCGUCAGAUUAAAAAUAAAAUAAAGGGUUAAGAUUGGUAGUAUGUUUUUAAGCUUAUUCUUAGAGCCAAUAUUACCAUUCUCAUAUAUAAUCGAGUUAAUUUAUGAACAUAAUGAGUUGAACUAUACAUAGUUCAAACCCAUCUCAUUUAAUUAACGAACUUAAUUUUUUACUCGUAUUCAACUUAUUUGAUUCAUGAACACCAUUUACAUGUCAGUCACAUCUCCGAAACUGCAUUUUUGGAUUUGUCUAGCGUGAUUUUUAAUAAAAUAACACAUUGCAUGUUCUUCUUCUUUAUGAUCAAUUACCAUUUUCACUCAAAAUCCUUAAAAAAUAAUCUUUCAUUCUCAACCAAGUUUUACACUCCAAAACUUCAUUAUGGAGCAAAAGAAACUGAAAUUUAAGGUAAAAUUCAUGCAUUUUAUUCCUCAUUGCUCACAUUAAUCAGGUUUUUGAGCUGAAAAAGUUAUGUUGUGUCUAGAAAUGCAAUUCCGGAUUCUAGGUGAGUUCAUACAGAAAUGUAUUUUCAGAAUAGUUUAGAGUAUAAUUUAAAUUAUUUGUUUUUGAAUAUUUUAGGUUAUUGUUUGCCUUAGCUAUGGUGUUCCCUAAUGUUAUCCCCAAACCUAUUGUGUCUACGUAUGUCAAAAGUUUUAACGUCAAGGAUGUAGAUGUUGGUAACAUAUUAAUAAAUGGACAAGAGUUUGAUGUUUGUGAUCAUAUGCUCCAAUAGAUCUGCACAAAGAUCCAAAUUGGGGGCUGGGUUGUAAUCUAGAGGUCAGAAAUGGUUCAGAUAGAAUACUUGCAUUUGUGACAUUGAGAUGUGAAAGAAGUGACAAGUAGACAACUCUUCUCCGAAAGUUGAAACGAGGUGACACUGGUUCAAGGAAAUGUAAGUGUCCCUUUAAGUUGCGUGAAUAUCUUUUGGCAAAAAUUAAAUGUACAUUUAAUGUGAUUUAUGGUUUACAUAACCAUGAAAUGUGUCAUAAGAUAGACAACCAUCAUGUUGCAUCUUGCCUUAUGCCUAAAGAAAAGGAAAUUGAUUUUGAUGUAACAUUGAAUAUGGUGCAACCCAAAAACAUAAUUGCAACUAUGAAACAUAAAAGACGUGAAAAUAUCUCAAAUAUCAAGAAAUAUACAACGUUCAUGUCCUUAACAACAAGGCGAUAAGGGGGUAGGCUUGAACUGCAACAACUGCUGAAACUUCUGGAUGAUAACAAUCAUGUAUAUCGGUACCGAAUGUGUGAGGAUGGAGAAAUCAUUUGAGAUAUAUUUUGGACUUAUCCUGAUUCUAUAAAGUUGUUCAACAUAUUUCGAUCAUACCCUAAAUUUCACCCUAUCUUUCAUAAUGUUUAUCUAGAUCACUAACCCUAAUCAUUUGCAUAUUCUCAUGGGCAUUCAUUCCGUUUUUAUAGGCAUGGUUCAAUACAAGAGAACAUGUAUCUUGGAUUCAAAGCUUGGUACUUGUACUUAGUGGAAACUAGGGUUUCCUAGCAAUUAGAGGUUGCUCAGUCAACCAAACCCUAAUUGGAGAUAACUCUCGAUGCUUGGGUAUGUGCUUGUUAUUGAUGAUUCAACUGUGGCUUCUUGAUGAAGCAAAACCCUAAUUUGGGGACUCCCACUUGCUCAUGUCUCCACAAACCCUAAUUAUGUCUAGCAUUCAUUGUGUGGCCUCAUAACCUUAAUUUCAUCUAAUUCUUCUCCACCUAUUGUGUGUGUGUGUGUCUCUCUCUUGUUUGGUCAAGUUUCAUUCAAUGGUCUCUUGUUCAUGGAUCAUUCAUGUUGAUCCUUGGUUUUGAUUCCAUUCAUCUUGUUCUUGUGUCCAUUGGUUUGAGCUCAAUUCCAUGGCCCCACAACUUUCAUUUGCACUCAUCCAUAGCAUUUCAUAUGGUUAUCUCAAGUGUUUAGUCCAUGCCUUUCUUGUUUCAUCAGGUCAAUUUCAUUUAAGUCCAUUUCAUGACAUUUUCAAUGCUUAGUGUUUGAUCCAUGGAUCUUUGAUUCAUGCUUAUCAUUGUCCAUUCAAGUUUUCUAAAGCCUAAUAUGAUUCAUCCAAUUCAUGUCCAUUAGUUCAUGUUAAUGGUUCAUUCAUUUCCAUACCUUUCAUCAUUUCUCAUUUCAAUCCAUUUCAAGUCUUGUUAGGUAACAUCCUUUCAAGGUUUGAUUCCAUUGGUUCAUGUUAAUAUAGUCCAUUCAAAGUUAAUUCAAGCCAUGUUAAUAUGAUCCAUUCAAGUCAUGGUUAUCCAUUCAAUGAAUUCAAAUUAUGAUCCAUCAAUACAUUCAAAGACCAAAUUCUAUCUAUUCAAGUUCAUAUCAAAUUCAUUACUUUUAAAUACCAAGUUCAUACAAUAUCAAUCCAAUUUCAUUCACAAAAACCUCAAAUUCCAUUACAUAGAUCAUGAGAUUGUCCAUACAUGAAAAAAUUACAAAAAAAUGACAUGUUAACCAAAUGUUAACUUUGGUCAACAAUUGACUUUUUGGUCAACUUUGACCAAAGUCAACUCAACCACUCACCACCCUAAAUCUCAAUCAUAUUUCUAAUCCUAAGUUCAACCUUGAUUCUUGAGUUUAGGUCAUUUUUACAUGAUGCUUCAAGGUUCAACUUGGUGUCACUUGUUUGCAAACUUUUGUCCAACCCAUUUCAUGUGCAUAUGACAUAUGAGAAACCUAGCAAAACAAUCCACAACAUGAAGUCAAUAUGCAGUGAAAUCAUGAACCAUUGCCAACCAAGUUGCAAAAUGCAUGAACACAAGCUCACAACCCACUAGCACAAGCCAUAUAUUAGUGCACAUUAAAAGCAAGUCAGAAUCAUAAGCACCAUGGUCAAGAUGCAGAACCUACUACGAUAUGAACAUAAAUUAUGCAUGCAGAACCACUUCACAAGACUACAAGGCUCCCUGCAUAAACUAAGUUAAAAUUAAAGCAUGAUGCAUAACCUUGCAUAAACAUAUGACUACUAUCAAACCUUGCAGGAACAUGCCAUGCUCACCUGCAGUGAAACACCUCAAAACCAUACUGAAGCUAGCGGAAAUAUACCCGAACGUAUCGCAUGCUCGAACAUGCAACAGAGUUUCCAUCGAACUUUAUUUAUUCCCGAAGGAAAGGGAAAACAUUGAUAAAACCUGGGGGAAAGAGAUAUGUUAGGUAAGGAAGUCGGUUAUGCAAGGGGAAUGUAUUAACACCCCUAACAUCCAUGGUAUUCCAUGAGAACCAUUUUGAUUAUUCUCGCUCCAAUGGGUGUUCUAUAUAAAGAUUACUCACAAAAAAAUAAGAGGAAAGGAAGAGAAUAGAUAAAGUGCUUGGUGAGGAUUGGGGCCUUUAUGCCUACGUAUCCUCAUAGUGCAAUAAGGAAUUCAGAGCUAUGUAGUUCAUAGAACUAGUUGCGGGAGAUGAAAAGAAGUGUGAUAACAAGUAUAGUCUAAACAAAAGGAUGAUCUGAUUUGAACUCUAAAAAGGGGUGAAAUAUGAACCCAAGAGUAAAACUGGAGUUGACCAACAAGUGAUGGGCAUAAGGCAUGGUAUCACUGUAUUGGAAUAACUGAAAAUAAAGGAAUUAAGUGUUUGGUUUCACAGCACAAACAACUCUUGGUUCAUAAGGAAAUACAAGAUGGAGCACAAAGAGAUAUUAUAUUUUGCUCAAAGAUAAAUGAUAUAUCACAUGAAGUGAAUGAAGGUAGAGUAUGAAUGCAUUAUGGAGAUGAAUGGAAUGAAGUGACCAAAGUCACAAAAUCGAAGGUUUGGUAACAAGUGGCUGAAGAAGUAUAGUUUGAAACCAAAGGUCAGAUACACAUCAUAAUGCAUAGGAGAAAUAAAGUUUGUACCAUAGAGAGAAACAAGCAUCUUAGCGUAAAAAGAAGGAAUUAAAUGUUUGGUUUGACAACACAAACAACUCUAGGUAUGGAUGCAUACUUUUCAUUAGGCGUUCUAAAAGGGUGUGUAUGGAUAUCCAAAGUAAAUUGUAUUUCAGUUUUAAAGAAACGGUAUAUCACUAGAGUGAACAGUUUAAUGAUCAAAAGUAGAUAAUGUACCGUGAAAGAUAUGAGUGGUGCCCUAAGACAGAAGGAGGAAUAAUUAGAAGUAUGCUCGCAGAGGAUUCGCAUCAUCGUGCCUACGUAUUCUCACCGUGCAAUGAGAAAAUCAGAGCAAUCGUAGUUCGUGGAACUACGAACAAAAAGGAAAGAGCAUAAACAGUAUUUGUCUAAGUAACAAGGUCUGACAAGACAAACAACUAAAGGGGUAUGAUUAAAGUGAUGAACAAUAUAACUUGUACCAACAGAAUUGUAACAUGGGAACUCACAAAGGUGAACGACUUCGAACCAAAGGGUAAAGGCAUAUCAGUCAAAAGAGAGAGCAAAGUGUUUGGUUUGACAUCACAAACAACUUUCAAUUCAUAAAGUUUUGGCCCAAAAGGAGGUAAUGAUUGUUUGGUUUGACAACACAAACAUCUGGUUCACAAGGUGGACUAUGAUUAGGUCGUCCUAAAAGGAUGUAAAUGGGGUCCCACAAGAAAGUAUUGUUGGGUACAAUAAACAGUAUAUCACUAGCUAGGAAACAAACAAUUCGAGAUCGAGGAAGAAUAGUAUAUUGGAUCCAUGAAAGAAUGAACUCUGAACCGAAAAGUAAACAUAUAUUUUGGUCAAAAAGAAGGAAUAAGGUGUUUGGUUUGACAUCACAAAUAACUUUUUGUUCACAAGGUUUUAGCCAAAAGGAGGAAUCAAAUGUUUGGUUUGACAGCACAAACAACUCUUGGUUCACAAGGCAGACUGUUCAUUAGGCGUCCUAAAAGGAUGAGCACGGAAACCAAGGAAAAGUAUAUUUGAUCUCAAAAAGAUGAUAUUGAUUUAAUGAAUGAAGAAUGUUGGAUUAAUAAAUAAGGUAGCUCGCGAAGAAACUGGAUUCUCCUGCCUACGUAUCCUUAUAGUGCAAUAAGGAAAUCAAAGCUUUCGUAGUUCAACCCACUAGGGCUGAAAACAAGAAUGAUUAAGGAGGCAAGAGGAGUGAUUGAUUGAAAUGAAGGAUGGAUUAGACUUGAUAGUUACUUGAUAAGAAUCAUACGAAAGUUUAUGAGUAAAGGUGGAUACGAUAAGCAACGGGCCAAAUGUCCUACACCUAAAGAUAUCCAGAAUGAGUGUAGGAAAGCUCCAGUCUCAUUCCUUCUUUACUACUUAAGGCUCGUGGCGUGUAAUUCUCAUAUUAACUUUCAAGUUGCUGGAGAAGAGUCUUGGUCAUUGUUCGUUGUAAUGAUGAAACGAGAGACUUGACAGUUGAUUGACGAGGAUCACACUAAAGUCUAUGAAUAAGGGCAAGUGUGUUGAAUAGCUAGGGCCUACGCCCCGUACGCAAAGUCACUCUAGACAAGGAUGAGAGAAACUCUGUAUCAUCAUUCCUUAUUAUUUAAGGCUCAUGGUGUAUGAUACUUCUCACAACUCACAAGUUGUUGUGGAAGAAUCUUCUUUGUA
RNAcentral lists this long non-coding RNA (11367 nucleotides) under Lathyrus oleraceus (garden pea). RNAcentral describes it as "Pisum sativum (pea) long non-coding RNA (PSAT_LNC004138)". The record is from RNAcentral. Lineage: Eukaryota; Viridiplantae; Streptophyta; Magnoliopsida; Fabales; Fabaceae.